RNAcentral lists this long non-coding RNA (398 nucleotides) under Equus caballus (horse). RNAcentral's name for it is "lncRNA (ENSECAG00000054166.1)". Lineage: Eukaryota; Metazoa; Chordata; Mammalia; Perissodactyla; Equidae. The record is from RNAcentral.
CGGACUCAUAGAGGCUGAAAACAGUCUUCAGAUGUGAAACUUUCUCAUGAAAAGAGUGGCUGUGCCGUUUUGUGUUCCCAUGAGCAGUGAAUGAGAGUUCCUGUUGCUCCACGUGCUUGUCAACUUUUGGUGUUGUCAGUGCUUUGAAGUUUAGCCAUUCUAACAGGAGAAGCGGAGCCCUAUGUCACAGAGCUGCACACACACCUGGCCCAGGAAUCAAAGAAGCUGAAGUUGGAGUUCAGGCAGGAGUUGGAGGAGCCGCUGGCCAGCUGCUUCCUUGCACUAACAAGGGAAUGCCUUACCCAGGCAGUGAGAGGUUAAAAAUGAAUUGUGUCACCAGUUGAUUAGGAGCCAACGGACUGGCAAGCUGUGACCCACAGAGAGAGUGGCUCUAUUUG